Molecule: ribosomal RNA, 425 nt
Filed under: uncultured bacterium
Lineage: Bacteria
Description: partial 16S ribosomal RNA
Rfam family: Bacterial small subunit ribosomal RNA
Source: RNAcentral
GAAUUUUGGACAAUGGGCGAAAGCCUGAUCCAGCAAUGCCGCGUGCAGGAUGAAGGCCUUCGGGUUGUAAACUUCUUUUGUACGGAACGAACAGCUUUGGGUUAAUACCCUGGCUUCAUGACGGUACCGUACUAAUAACCCCCGGCUAACUACGUCCCAGCAGCCGCGGUAAUCCGUAGGGUGCAAGCGUUAAUCGGAAUUACUGGGCGUAAAGCGUGCGCAGGCGGUUUUGUAAGACAGAGGUGAAAGCACCGGGCUCAACCUGGGAACGACCUUUGUGACUGAAAGGCUAGAGUACGGCAGAGGGGGGUGGAAUUCCGCGUGUAGCAGUGAAAUGCGUAGAUAUGCGGAGGAACACCGAUGGCGAAGGCAACCCCCUGGGCAUGUACUGGCGCUCAUGCACGAAAGCGUGGGGAGCAAACAGG